This 26-nucleotide non-coding RNA is filed under the name Cricetulus griseus (Chinese hamster). Lineage: Eukaryota; Metazoa; Chordata; Mammalia; Rodentia; Cricetidae. The record is from RNAcentral.
AUGGCUCAGAGGUUAAGAGCCCUGAC